UACGAAGGGGGCUAGCGUUGUUCGGAAUUACUGGGCGUAAAGCGUGCGCAGGCGGCCAUCCAAGUCAGUGGUGAAAGCCCGGAGCUCAACUCCGGAAUUGCCAUUGAAACUGUUUGGCUCGAGUACGAGAGAGGUGAGUGGAAUUCCCAGUGUAGAGGUGAAAUUCGUAGAUAUUGGGAAGAACACCGGUGGCGAAGACGGCUCACUGGCUCGUAACUGACGCUCAUGCACGACAGCGUGGGGAUCAAACAGG
This 253-nucleotide ribosomal RNA is filed under the name uncultured bacterium. Its description in RNAcentral is "partial 16S ribosomal RNA". It matches the Rfam family "Bacterial small subunit ribosomal RNA", at positions 524 to 776 of the family's 1533-position model. The record is from RNAcentral.